RNAcentral lists this unclassified non-coding RNA (253 nucleotides) under uncultured Bacillaceae bacterium. RNAcentral describes it as "contains 16S-23S intergenic spacer region". It matches the Rfam family "Bacterial small subunit ribosomal RNA", at positions 524 to 776 of the family's 1533-position model. The record is from RNAcentral. Lineage: Bacteria; Bacillati; Bacillota; Bacilli; Caryophanales; Bacillaceae.
UACGUAGGUGGCAAGCGUUGUCCGGAAUUACUGGGAGUAAAGCGCGCGCAGGUGGUUUCUUAAGUCUGAUGUGAAAGCCCACGGCUCAGCCGUGGAGGGUCAUUGGAAACUGGGAGACUUGAGUGCAGAAGAGGAAAGUGGAAUUCCAUGUGUAGAGGUGAAAUGCGUAGAGAUAUGGAGGAACACCAGUGGCGAAGGCGACUUUCUGGUCUGUAACUGACACUGAGUCGCGAAAGCGUGGGGAGCGAACAGG